CAAUCACUUGUCUUUUAAAUGGAGACCGGUAUGAAUGGCAAGACGAGGGCCUAACUGUCUCCUUUUUCCAGUCAAUGAAAUUGAUCUCCCCGUGCAGAAGCGGGGAUUAACACAUAAGACGAGAAGACCCUGUGGAGCUUUAGACACCAAGACAGCUUAUGUUACACAACUCUAUAUAAAGACCCGAACGAAAUAAACCCUGCCCAGAUGUCUUUGGUUGGGGCGACCGCGGGGAAACGAAAAACCCCCGAGUGGACAGGGAGAACAAUAUUCUCCUACAAAUAAGAGCCCCCGCUCUAAUUAACAGAAACUCUGACCUACCAGAUCCGGCCUAGCCGAUCAACGAACCGAGUUACCCCAGGGAUAACAGCGCAAUCCUCUUUCAGAGCUCA
Molecule: ribosomal RNA, 392 nt
Filed under: Diapterus auratus (Irish mojarra)
Lineage: Eukaryota; Metazoa; Chordata; Actinopteri; Gerreiformes; Gerreidae
Description: partial 16S ribosomal RNA
Rfam family: Bacterial large subunit ribosomal RNA
Source: RNAcentral